Molecule: ribosomal RNA, 482 nt
Filed under: uncultured bacterium
Lineage: Bacteria
Description: bacterial SSU rRNA
Rfam family: Bacterial small subunit ribosomal RNA
Source: RNAcentral
UUGAACGCUGGCGGCAUGCUUUACACAUGCAAGUCGAACGGCAGCGGGGGCUUCGGCCUGCCGGCGAGUGGCGAACGGGUGAGUAAUGCAUCGGAACGUACCCAGUCGUGGGGGAUAACUACGCGAAAGCGUAGCUAAUACCGCAUACGUCCUGAGGGAGAAAGCGGGGGAUCUUCGGACCUCGCGCGAUUGGAGCGGCCGAUGUCGGAUUAGCUAGUAGGUGAGGUAAAGGCUCACCUAGGCGACGAUCCGUAGCGGGUCUGAGAGGAUGAUCCGCCACACUGGGACUGAGACACGGCCCAGACUCCUACGGGAGGCAGCAGUGGGGAAUUUUGGACAAUGGGCGCAAGCCUGAUCCAGCCAUGCCGCGUGAGUGAAGAAGGCCUUCGGGUUGUAAACCGCUUUCAGCCGGAAAGAAAUCGCCACUUCUAAUACGAGUGGUGGAUGACGGUACCGGAAGAAGAAGCACCGGCUAACUACGU